GACGAACGCUGGCGGCGUGCUUAACACAUGCAAGUCGAACGAAGAGCGAUGGAAGCUUGCUUCUAUCAAUCUUAGUGGCGAACGGGUGAGUAACGCGUAAUCAACCUGCCCUUCAGAGGGGGACAACAGUUGGAAACGACUGCUAAUACCGCAUACGAUCUAACCUCGGCAUCGAGGAUGGAUGAAAGGUGGCCUCUAUUUAUAAGCUAUCACUGCAGGAGGGGAUUGCGUCUGAUUAGCUAGUUGGAGGGGUAACGGCCCACCAAGGCGAUGAUCAGUAGCCGGUCUGAGAGGAUGAACGGCCACAUUGGGACUGAGACACGGCCCAGACUCCUACGGGAGGCAGCAGUGGGGAAUCUUCCGCAAUGGACGAAAGUCUGACGGAGCAACGCCGCGUGAGUGAUGACGGCCUUCGGGUUGUAAAGCUCUGUUAAUCGGGACGAAAGGCCUUCUUGCGAAUAGUUAGAAGGAUUGACGGUACCGGAAUAGAAAGCCACGGCUAACUACGUG
This 510-nucleotide ribosomal RNA is filed under the name uncultured bacterium. Its description in RNAcentral is "partial 16S ribosomal RNA". It matches the Rfam family "Bacterial small subunit ribosomal RNA", at positions 28 to 507 of the family's 1533-position model. The record is from RNAcentral.